This 253-nucleotide ribosomal RNA is filed under the name uncultured bacterium. RNAcentral's name for it is "partial 16S ribosomal RNA". It matches the Rfam family "Bacterial small subunit ribosomal RNA", at positions 524 to 776 of the family's 1533-position model. The record is from RNAcentral.
UACGGAGGGUGCGAGCGUUAUUCGGAAUUAUUGGGCGUAAAGGGCGCGUAGGCGGCUGAACAAGUCAAAGGUGAAAUCCCUCGGCUCAACUGAGGAACUGCCUUUGAAACUGUCUGGCUUGAGGCCGGGAGGGGGUAGCGGAAUUCCCAAUGUAGCGGUGAAAUGCGUAGAUAUUGGGAGGAACACCAGUGGCGAAGGCGGCUACCUGGACCGGUUCUGACGCUGAGGCGCGAAAGCGUGGGUAGCAAACAGG